The sequence is a ribosomal RNA, 455 nucleotides long. It matches the Rfam family "Bacterial small subunit ribosomal RNA", at positions 341 to 792 of the family's 1533-position model.
ACGGAAGGCAGCAGUAAGGGAUAUUGGGCAAUGGGGGGAACCCUGACCCAGCCAUGCCGCGUGAGGGAAUGAGGCCCUACGGGUCGUGAACCUCUUUUGCCUGGGGAUAACCCCUCCCGCGCGACGGGGGGCUGCAGGUACCAGGCGAAUAAGCAUCGGCUAACUACGUGCCAGCAGCCGCGGUAAUACGUAGGUUGCAAGCGUUGUCCGGAUUUACUGGGUGUAAAGGGCGUGUAGGCGGAGCUGCAAGUCAGAUGUGAAAUCCCGGGGCUCAACCCCGGAACUGCAUUUGAAACUGUAGCCCUUGAGUAUCGGAGAGGCAAGCGGAAUUCCUAGUGUAGCGGUGAAAUGCGUAGAUAUUAGGAGGAACACCAGUGGCGAAGGCGGCUUGCUGGACGACAACUGACGCUGAGGCGCGAAAGCGUGGGGAGCAAACAGGAUUAGAUACCCUGGUA